Molecule: small nuclear RNA, 106 nt
Filed under: Catagonus wagneri (Chacoan peccary)
Lineage: Eukaryota; Metazoa; Chordata; Mammalia; Artiodactyla; Tayassuidae
Source: RNAcentral
GGUGCUCGCUUUGGCAACAUAUACUAAAAUUGAAAUGAUACAAAGAAGAUUAGCAGGGCCCCUGCAUGAGGAUGAUACACAAAUUGUUGAAGUGUUCCAUAUUUUU